RNAcentral lists this ribosomal RNA (116 nucleotides) under Pteropus alecto (black flying fox). The record is from RNAcentral. Lineage: Eukaryota; Metazoa; Chordata; Mammalia; Chiroptera; Pteropodidae.
GUCUAUGGCCAUGCUACCCUGAACAAGCCCAAUGUCUGAUCUCAGAAGCUAAGCAGGGUCGGGCCUGGUUACUAUUUGGAUGGGAGACCACCUAGGAAGACCAGGUGCUGUAGGCA